CCUACGGGCGGCAGCAGUAGGGAAUCUUCCACAAUGGGCGAAAGCCUGAUGGAGCAACGCCGCGUGGGUGAAGAAGGUCUUCGGAUCGUAAAACCCUGUUGUUAGAGAAGAAAGUGCGGGAGAGUAACUGUUCACGUGUCGACGGUAUCUAACCAGAAAGCCACGGCUAACUACGAGCCAGCAGCCGCGGUAAUACGUAGGUGGCAAGCGUUAUCCGGAUUUAGUGGGCGUAAAGGGAACGCAGUCGGUCUGUUAAGUCUGAGGUGAAAGCCUUCGGCUUAACCGGAGUAGUGCAUUGGCAACUGGGAGACUUGAGUGCAGCAGAGGAGAGUGGAACUCCAUGUGUAGCGGUGACAUGCGUAGAUAUCUGGCAGAACACCAGUGGCGAAGGCGGCUCUCUGGUCUGUAACUGACGCUGAGGUUCGAAAGCGUGGGUAGCAAACAGGAUUAGAUACCCCUGUAGUC
This 465-nucleotide ribosomal RNA is filed under the name uncultured bacterium. Its description in RNAcentral is "partial 16S ribosomal RNA". It matches the Rfam family "Bacterial small subunit ribosomal RNA", at positions 338 to 795 of the family's 1533-position model. The record is from RNAcentral.